AUUGAACGCUGGCGGCAUGCCUUACACAUGCAAGUCGAACGGCAGCACGGGAGCAAUCCUGGUGGCGAGUGGCGAACGGGUGAGUAAUAUAUCGGAACGUGCCCGGUCGUGGGGAUAACGUAGCGAAAGCUACGCUAAUACCGCAUACGAUCUACGGAUGAAAGCGGGGGAUCGCAAGACCUCGCGCGAUUGGAGCGGCCGAUAUCAGAUUAGGUAGUUGGUGAGGUAAAGGCUCACCAAGCCGACGAUCUGUAGCUGGUCUGAGAGGACGACCAGCCACACUGGGACUGAGACACGGCCCAGACUCCUACGGAGGCAGCAGUGGGAAUUUUGGACAAUGGGCGCAAGCCUGAUCCAGCAAUGCCGCGUGCAGGAUGAAGG
This 381-nucleotide ribosomal RNA is filed under the name uncultured bacterium. Its description in RNAcentral is "bacterial SSU rRNA". It matches the Rfam family "Bacterial small subunit ribosomal RNA", at positions 30 to 414 of the family's 1533-position model. The record is from RNAcentral.